CGAAAUAUGGCGCAGUUGGUAGCGCGCCUGCUUUGGGAGCAGGAGGUCAUGUGUUCAACCCACAUUAUUUCGA
Molecule: transfer RNA, 73 nt
Filed under: Pseudo-nitzschia pungens
Lineage: Eukaryota; Bacillariophyta; Bacillariophyceae; Bacillariales; Bacillariaceae
Also listed under: 3 other names
Description: tRNA-Pro
Rfam family: tRNA
About the family: Transfer RNA (tRNA) molecules are approximately 80 nucleotides in length. Their secondary structure includes four short double-helical elements and three loops (D, anti-codon, and T loops). Further hydrogen bonds mediate the characteristic L-shaped molecular structure. tRNAs have two regions of fundamental functional importance: the anti-codon, which is responsible for specific mRNA codon recognition, and the 3' end, to which the tRNAs corresponding amino acid is attached (by aminoacyl-tRNA synthetases). tRNAs cope with the degeneracy of the genetic code in two manners: having more than one tRNA (with a specific anti-codon) for a particular amino acid; and 'wobble' base-pairing, i.e. permitting non-standard base-pairing at the 3rd anti-codon position.
Source: RNAcentral